CCUACGGGUGGCAGCAGUGGGGAAUAUUGGGCAAUGGGCGCAAGCCUGACCCAGCAACGCCGCGUGAAGGAAGAAGGCUUUCGGGUUGUAAACUUCUUUUAUCAGGGACGAAGCCAGUGACGGUACCUGAUGAAUAAGCCACGGCUAACUACGUGCCAGCAGCCGCGGUAAUACGUAGGUGGCAAGCGUUAUCCGGAUUUCCUGGGUGUAAAGUGCGUGUAGGCGGGAGUGCAAGUCAGAUGUGAAAACUAUGGGCUCAACCCAUAGCCUGCAUUUGAAACUGUACUUCUUGAGUACUGGAGAGGCAGACGGAAUUCCUAGUGUAGCGGUGAAAUGCGUAGAUAUUAGGAGGAACACCAGUGGCGAAGGCGGUCUGCUGGACAGCAACUGACGCUGAGGCGCGAAAGCGUGGGGAGCAAACAGGAUUAGAUACCCUUGUAGUC
RNAcentral lists this ribosomal RNA (443 nucleotides) under uncultured bacterium. Its description in RNAcentral is "partial 16S ribosomal RNA". It matches the Rfam family "Bacterial small subunit ribosomal RNA", at positions 338 to 795 of the family's 1533-position model. The record is from RNAcentral.